AACAGCUCAAAUUUGAAAUCUGGCCCCCAGGGCCCGAGUUGUAAUUUGCAGAGGAUGCUUUUGGCGCGGUGCCUUCCGAGUUCCCUGGAACGGGACGCCAUAGAGGGUGAGAGCCCCGUCUGGUCGGACGCCUAGCCUGUGUAAAGCUCCUUCGACGAGUCGAGUAGUUUGGGAAUGCUGCUCUAAAUGGGAGGUAUAUGUCUUCUAAAGCUAAAUACCGGCCAGAGACCGAUAGCGCACAAGUAGAGUGAUCGAAAGAUGAAAAGCACUUUGAAAAGAGGGUUAAAUAGUACGUGAAAUUGUUGAAAGGGAAGCGCUUGUGACCAGACUUGGGCCCGGUGGAUCAUCCAGCGUUCUCGCUGGUGCACUCCGCCGGGUUCAGGCCAGCAUCAGUUCGCCGCGGGGGAAAAAGGCUUCGGGAACGUGGCUCCUACGGGAGUGUUAUAGCCCGUUGCAUAAUACCCUGGGGCGGACUGAGGUUCGCGCUCCGCAAGGAUGCUGGCGUAAUGGUCAUCAGCGACCCGUCUU
RNAcentral lists this ribosomal RNA (528 nucleotides) under Purpureocillium lilacinum. RNAcentral's name for it is "partial large subunit ribosomal RNA". It matches the Rfam family "Eukaryotic large subunit ribosomal RNA", at positions 103 to 655 of the family's 3401-position model. The record is from RNAcentral. Lineage: Eukaryota; Fungi; Ascomycota; Sordariomycetes; Hypocreales; Ophiocordycipitaceae.